Otolemur garnettii (small-eared galago) is the source of this 300-nucleotide non-coding RNA. The record is from Rfam. NCBI's taxonomy places the organism in Eukaryota, Metazoa, Chordata, Mammalia, Primates, Galagidae.
GCUGGAUGCAGUGGCGAGUGUCUGUAGUCCCAGCUACGUAGGAGGCUGAGACAGUAGGAUCACUUGAGUCCAGGAGUUCUGGGCUGUAGUGUACUAUGCUGAUCCGGUGUCCACACUAAGUUCAGCAUCAAUAUGGUGACCUCUGGGGAGCUAGGGGCCACCAGGUUGCCUAAGGAGGGGUGAACCGGCUCAGGUUGAAAAUGGAGCAGGUCAAAACUCCCAUGUUGAUCAGUAGUGGGAUCGCACCUGUGAAUAGCCACUGCACUCCUGCCUGGGCAACAUAGCAAGACCCCGUCUCUA